Capra hircus (goat) is the source of this 803-nucleotide long non-coding RNA. RefSeq lists it as uncharacterized. The record is from RefSeq and is a predicted model, not a curated record. Lineage: Eukaryota; Metazoa; Chordata; Mammalia; Artiodactyla; Bovidae. The transcript is spliced from 3 exons.
CCGCGCCCCGGACUAAGUUCCCAGGUGCGCGGUGCGCUGCGCUCUCCGCCGGCGCUCGGAGCCUCCGCCAGCCUCGGUUCCCUCCCCGCGUUCAACAGCACGAAAGCAGAGGUCUGGAGAGCCAAGUGACUUGCCCAGAGAUGAUCAGAGGGCGGUGACGGAGCAAACACAUCUGCGACUCCUUGCUUUUUCCUUUGCGAGGUCCUGCAGGAAUCGCCUCGCUCUCGCUGGUUAAGACCCACAGGAAUUCCACCACAAAAUAAUGUGCCUCCUGGGUUACCCUUCCAGUCCUGAUUGUGUUGUUCUUGGCCCAAGGAAACCAUUUGAAGAAGACAGUAAUCCUGCAAGAAAUGGAAAUGUCUUCUAAAAGUCAUGUAAAUCCCAAAUUGGAAUUGUGCUGAGUCCGGAGUGUGUACUCCUGACUACUCUUCUGCACGUGGGCAUGUACUUAAACUUUUCUCAGCCAAUCAAGAGUAGCCCGCUUCCCUGGCUAGUGACUGAUGUAGGAACAAGCAGAAGGUAAAAUUUUGCCUAAUGAAAUAAACUUUCCUGAGGUGGUGGUGGUGGCGUUCAAGGAAGGUUUCUUCCCAAAUGAUGUGUGUUGGAGGGAAUGUUUCUUUCUUCUUCUAAUGAUGCUGUUUCUGCAUCUACAUCUGCCUGAAACAGCAGAGUCAUCUUGGCACCCUGAAGGGAGCUGGAAGAAAGAUGGAAAUAGUCAUAACACUGUUGAGUUAAAGAGCUAACCAACCCCCAGAUUCCUACCUCUGGACUUGUUAUAUGAAAGAAUAAAUUUCCAUUUUGAA